Molecule: small RNA, 29 nt
Filed under: Bombyx mori (domestic silkworm)
Lineage: Eukaryota; Metazoa; Arthropoda; Insecta; Lepidoptera; Bombycidae
Description: piRNA piR-bmo-2004573
Source: RNAcentral
UUCAACGUGUAUGGACAUCCUGAAUCAAU